This 477-nucleotide ribosomal RNA is filed under the name uncultured anaerobic ammonium-oxidizing bacterium. RNAcentral's name for it is "bacterial SSU rRNA". It matches the Rfam family "Bacterial small subunit ribosomal RNA", at positions 365 to 832 of the family's 1533-position model. The record is from RNAcentral.
UUCGCAAUGCCCGAAAGGGUGACGAAGCGACGCCGCGUGUGGGGAGAAGGCCUUCGGGUUGUAAACCACUGUCGGGAGUUAAGAAGUGCAAUGGGGCGAAUAGCGCCAUUGCUUGACUAAGGCUCCAGAGGAAGCCACGGCUAACUCUGUGCCAGCAGCCGCGGUAAUACAGAGGCGGCAAGCGUUGUUCGGAAUUAUUGGGCGUAAAGAGCACGUAGGCGGCCGUGUAAGUCGGUUGUGAAAGCCUUCCGCUUAACGGAAGAACAGCAGCCGAUACUGCAUAGCUUGAGUGCGGAAGGGGAGAGUGGAACUUCUGGUGGAGCGGUGAAAUGCGUAGAUAUCAGAAGGAACGCCGGCGGCGAAAGCGGCUCUCUGGUCCGUAACUGACGCUGAGUGUGCGAAAGCUAGGGGAGCAAACGGGAUUAGAUACCCCGGUAGUCCUAGCCGUAAACGAUGGGCACUAAGUAGAGGGGUUUU